Long non-coding RNA from Homo sapiens (human), 32003 nucleotides. RefSeq lists it as uncharacterized. Lineage: Eukaryota; Metazoa; Chordata; Mammalia; Primates; Hominidae. The record is from RefSeq and is a predicted model, not a curated record. The transcript has 2 exons.
GUCUGGAUCCUGAUUUUGAGUGUUCAUUUCCCAAAAAAUCUUAGGAAGAUAAACACUUUCUUGGUAACCUUUGAGUGUCAUGUUCCUUCUCUGAAGAGUGUAUUAGAUUCCAUGUGGUAUACCCAGUAGAUUGCAUUUUGAGUGUCAUUGAUGAUUAAUGGAUAGAGACUGCUUAGACCACUGUAUGGAGAAGGAUUCUGAAGUCAUGUCUGGGUGCAGUGGGAGAGUGUCAUGAUACAUUGAUUAUUACUUUUCAUAACCGAUUUACCUAAACCAAAUAAUACUAGUUUUUAAAUUCCUGGAUGUGAUACACAAUUUCCUUUAAAAAUAAAUUUAAUUAGAAGAAAUGAAUGGUUUUUUUUAAAUAAGGAAAACUAGAGUUUUUCAGGGGGAAUGUGGCUAUGGUGGAAACUUUGAACAUAGUAUGAGAAAGAAUGAAAUUCUGGCCGGGCGCGGUGGCUCACACCUGUAAUCUCAGCACUUUGGGAGGCCAGGGCAGGCGGAUCACGAGGUCAGGAGAUAGAGACCAUCCUGGCCAACAUGGUGAAACCCUGUCUCUACUAAAAAUACAAAAAUUAGCUGGGCCUGGUGGUUUGUGCCUGUAGUCCCAGCUACUCAGGAGGCUGAGGCAGGAGAAUCGCUUGAACCUGGGAGGUAGAGGUUGUAGUGAGGUCAGAUCAUGCCACUGCACUCCAGCCUGGCGACACAGUGAGACUCCGUCUCAAAAAACAAACAAAAAUGAAAAAAGCACAAAGAAUGAAAUUCUGGAAACACUAAGGAGAUGAAUGUUUACCUACCUGACAGAAUUGUUUUGGGAGUUUUAAUGCAGGUGGCAGCUUGCUGUGACUUCUAAAGGCAGUACAGAAGUAUCACAGUGUGGUUAAACUUCUUUUUUUGACCAGGAGGUAAACCUGAACUCAAAGUCUCCCAAAGCCCUCUCUGAACAAGAAAAUAGAAUAGUGGUCCAGAGUUUGGAUACUGAGGCUGGACUGUCUGGGUUUGAGCCCCCUCUCGCCUCUGUUCACAUAGUUAGCGAGUGAUAUAUGCAUUUAACUUCCCUGAGCCUCAGUUUCUCAUUUGUUAAAGGCAGUACCUCAUGGUGUUGGUAUCAGGAUUAAAAGACCAUUUCAGAGGAAGCUUCUAGAACAGCACGUGGUUCAGUAUAACACGGCGUCUACGGGUUGACAAUGAUAAUGAUGAUUGGAUAUUAAAAAAACCUGACUGGAUGCGUUGGCUCACGCCUGUAAUCCCAGCACUUUGGGAGACUAAGGUGGGCUGAUACCUGAGGUCGGGAGUUCGAGACCAGCCUGGCCAACAUGUUGAAACCCCAUCUCUACUAAAAACAGAAAAAUUAGCUGGGCGUGGUGGUGCACACCUUGUAAUCCCAGCUACUCAGGAGGCUGAGGCAUGAGAAUCGCUUGAACCUGGGAGGCGGAGGUUGCAGUGAGCCCGGAUUGUGCCACUUGCACUCCAGCCUGGGCCAUAGAGUGAGACUCCAUCUCAAAAAACAAAACCUUACACAAUUUAAUACAUUAAACAGGUUUGGACACUUUUUCCCCCCCUAAUUAAAAAUUUUUUUUUUUUCUUUAAGAGACAAGAGUCUUGCUCAGUUGUCCAGGCUGAGUGCAGUGGCAUGCUCCUAGCCUACUGCAGCCUCAAACUCCUGGGCUCAAGCAAUCCUUUCGCCUCAGCCUCCCGAGUAGCUAGGACUACAAGUGCAUGCCACUAGCCCAGGCUCCCCUCACUUAAAAAAAAUGGGUGCUUGGCCUUACAAAUUGCUGAGAUUACUCUGUCAUCUUACUAUUUUUAUAAAAGUUUCCUUUUUUUUUUUUAAAUUUUUAAGAGAGAAGUGAUUUCUGAGUGAAGGAAUAGCAAACCUUGACUGUGGUGAAUAUCUUAUUUCUCCUUUAGUGUCUAUAUGCCCGUUUUUAUGCUGCGUAUAUCUUAUUUAUCUGGCUUCCUAGGCAGUUUAGAAUAUGUAAAGCAUUUAUGCCACUGAAUGUUUUUUAGAAUUAUAGCAUCUUUAGUGAAUGACUGUACCUACGCUGAGCCAUUUUAUCAUGCUAUAAAUACCAAAAAACACUAGAAAUUAAAGAACAAGUUUAUUUCAUUUUUGUAUAUAAAUUCUAUUCCUUUUAUUUUUAACUUGGAUAAAGAGCUUUGUUUGUUUGUUUCUUAAUCACUUCUCUUUUCUUUGUAGUGAGUAAAGAGGAGAUAUCAAUUUGUGUGUAGAUAUUAGCAUUCUUAUAUAACAGACUCAGCCCUAGACACAUAAAACACCAGCACCUACUAGCUGGUGUUGAAAUGUGUGGCAAAGAGAAUAAUGAUUUUGAUUUACAAAUACUUACCUGUCAAGAAACACCACCACCACCCAAUCCCUUACUGUUUCUUUUCAGAAAUUAAUAAUUUAAAUUUUAAUAAGCACCAGGCUUAAUGCCUCAUCAAGUAUUUUUUUUCUUUAUUAUUUAUACAUGUUGGUGUAGCUAGCGUGUUGACUAGCACUGGUUAGCACACUAACAAAUAGAAACCAACACUAUACUCACCUUCUAGGUUCUAGGUUUAUAGUUAAUUAACCCAAGUUCUCCUGAAGACCAGAUUUCUUCUUGUCUUGGAAGGGGUUAGAAGGUAAUAGUCAUUUGAACAUAUGUCCACAAAAUCUUUUUUCAGAAACUGAGGUUUAAUUGUCCUCCUAUUGACUAUGAGCUAGACUUCAUGUCUCCUGAUGAACAUAAUAAGGUUGAAGUGAUAGUGACUUUAGAGACAAUAUCUCUAAAGAGACUUUCUGUCUUGGAUAACUUUGAGGAAAGCCACCUGCCAUGUUGUGAGGACACUCAAGCAGCCCUGUGGAGGGGCCUGUGUUGUGAGGAAUGGAGGCCUCCCACUGAUAGCCAUAUAAGUAAGCCUGGAAGUGGAUCCUCUAUCCCAGAUUAAAUAUUCAGCUGACUGCAGUGCAGCCAACACUUGACUGUAACCUCAUGAGAGAACCUGAGCCAGAAGCAAGCCAACUAAACUGCUCUUACAUCCAUGCCCCACAGAGCCUAUGAGAUGAUAAAUGUUUGUUGUUAGAAGCCAUUACGUUGUGGGAUAAUUUGUUACACAGUAAUAGAUCACUAAUGCACAAUAAUGGUGGGGGUCAGAUACACAGGAACAAACUGAAUCCAUAAGAAGAUGAUGGUCCUUGGCAUGCCCUUGGAAUGGGGUCCAAUGAUGUUGCAGAACUAGGUAAGGCCUUUCUAGGGGCAGAAAAGGGAAUGUUUUGGGGUUAGAUUUGGUACUUAGCAUCAACAAGGAAGAUCUGUUCCAGUAGCAUUUUAAAAAGGCCUCUCAACUAAGACUUAUUGAUGGUGAUGGUGCAUAUGUCUGUCGGUCUGCGGAAAUGCAGGUGAGCAAGGGAAUGCAGAACAGAUGCAGAGUAUACACAUAGGCGUCUGAUGCAGGUUCAAGUCGAGUAGCUUCCGAUAUGACUGUUUUCUUUAGUUUUCACAACCAUUGAAAAGAGCAGGCCAGGUAUGGUGGCUCACACCUGUAAUCUCAGCACUUUGGAAGGCUGAAGUGGGUGGAUCACUUGAGCACAGGAAUUUGAGACAAGCCUGGGCAACAUGGCGAAACUGUCUCUACCAAAAAUACAAGAAUCAGCUAGUCUCAUAACCCGGUCUCAAAAUAAAUAAAAAAUAAAAUUAAAAAUAAAAGAGCAAUGUCGUUGGCAUCCCAUUCAUGUUUGGGAAUGGAAUCUGACUUUGCCACUUGGAAGAUUGUAAUCUCCAUGAAGGUAGGGACAUGUCUGUAUUAUUUACUCCCAAAUGCCUGGUGUCACAGAACGUGGAAGGUUCUCAGUAGGUAUUUGUUGAAAUAAUAAAUGAAUAUCAUUGUAUAAUUUUGAGCAGAUGAUACAAUCUUUUUAAGCCUCAAUAUCCUGCUCUGUACAGUGGGGAUAAAUAACCCCUAACUUGCAAUGUUAUUGUAAGGCUUGGAGAUAGUGUAUUCAAAGCAGUAGUCCCCAGCCUUUUUGGCAUCAGGGACCAGUUUUGUGGAAGACAAUUUUUCCAUGGACCGGGGGUUGGGGGGAUGGUUUUGGGAUGAGUCAAGUGCAUUACAUUUAUUAUGCGCUAUAUUUCUAUUAUUACUAUAUUGCAAUAUAUAAUGAAAUAAUUAUACAGUUCACCAAACUGUAGAAUCAGUGGGAGCCCUGAGCUUGCUUUCCUGCAACUAAGCAGUCCCAUCUGAGGGUAAUGGGAGACAGUGACAGAUCAUCAGGCAUUAGAGCCUCAUAAGGAGCGGGCAACCUAGAUCCCUCACGUGCACAGCCCAUAAUAGAAUUUUUGCUCCUAUGAGAAUCUAAUGCUACCACUGAUCUGACAGGCGGCAGAGCUCAGGCAGUAAUGCUCUCUUGCCCUCCACUCACCUCCUGUUGUGCAGCUCGGUUCCUGACAGGGCACGGACUGGCUGUGGUCUGUGUCCUGGGGGUUGGGGACCCCUGAUUUAAAGCACUUACACAGUAGGCAGGCAUGUAUUUCUCAGAAUCCUCAGAAUCCAUUCUUGUUAUGAUGGUCAGAGAACGAAUGUGAAGUUUUGAUCAUGUACUUUCUGUUUUGGCAGAAUUAGCCUUGGUAAUUCAGUUCCUUAAGUUGUGAGUGAUGAAUUCAAGAAGUGAACUGUUGGAUUUUGUUCCACAUCUGGAUUGUAUUAAGUGGAUUAUUGCCAAGUUCCCACUCUACAUGCUCCUUGUAGUCAAGCUAGUGUCACGCCCCUCGCAUUUUUAAGAAGGUAACAUUACAGUUGUGAGUCAUAGUUACCCAGCAGGAAGCCACAUUCCUGGGACUCAACUGAUGGGGUGGCUGAGCCCAGAGCUCUUGGUCUGAUGGGCCAUCACUCCUUGUCUUAUAAUCCUCAGUCCAAGAGCAUGACAGAAUUAUUUCUUUCUGUCACUAAGAUUGUUGCAGUAAAGUAACCUAGUAUAAAUCUGGAUAUUCUGUAAAAACAAUUCACUUCUACCUUUGUGCUGUAAAUAAUUAUGAGCAUUACUUUUGGCAUUUAAAAAUGCAUUGUAAAGGCCUGGCGUGGUUCACACAUGUAAUCCCAGCACUUUGGGAAGCCAAGGCUGGUAGGUCACUUUGAGCCCAAGAGUUCCAGACCAGCCCAGGCAACAUGGUGAAAACCCCACCUCUACAGAAGAUACAAAAAUUAGUCAGGUGUGGUUGUACACGCCUGUAAUCCCAGCUACUAGGGAGGCUGGGGUGGGAGGCUCCCUUGAGCCUGGGAGGCGGAGGUUGCGGUGAGCCGAGAUCGCGCCAUUGCACUCCAGCCUGGGCGACAGAGCCAGAUCCUGUUUCAAAAUAAAUAAAUAAAUAAAAAUAAAAAAAAUAAAAAAGCAUUUAGGAAGAUAUUGAGUAGUAGGAAGUUUUUGUCUGAAGGGUUAUGUGAAAUUUAAGGAACUGGACAUCCCCUGUUUUGGUUCAGAAUUUUUCUUGGAACCACUAGCAGGUGGAGUUUUCUGAUAAAUCUUACUGUCUCUAUCAGUGUCACCCCUGUUUGAAUAGGAACCCUCACAAGAGGAUCCAUGUUUAUGUCAGAUUUUAUUCUGUCCCAUUUUGUGUAGCUGGGCUGUGAUUCAAGGUGAAAUUCUUAGGAAAGGAAAUCUUGUGUAGUAGGUAGGGGCUAAUCUUCACCACACAAGCUCCUGCCUUUCUGCCAUUCAGAAGUAGAGACCUAGAAGAGAUAAGAAAUGGGGAGCUAAGAAAUACAUUGCUGGCCUUCUGCAGUACUCGCCUAUCAGUAUUUUCACUGUCUCUUCCUGGAAGUAUCGUUUUAAAUCUAUUGCACAAAGUCAGACAAAUAGGUUUAUUUGAGUCAAUGAUUUUUUUAUAGCGAUAUGGCAAUGUUUUAUGGAGGCUCAGAGUUAUCUUGCAAGUCUGGGCCAAGUUGUAACUUGAAAGAAAACCCAAAGCUAAGAUGGUGAAUUGUAAAUAAAUACACACACACACACACACACACACACACACACACAGGCACAAAUAUAUUGAAGACUUUGUUUUUCUAGGCUGGGUUCUGGUAAAAGGGUUCAUGCUUGUAAUUCCUGCACUUUGGGAGGCUGAGGCGGGAAGAUCAUUAGAUUGCUGGAGUUUAGGCCAGGCUAGGCAACCUAGUGAGACCUUAUCUGUAUUAAAAAAAGAAAAGAAAAUUAACUGGGUGUGGUGGCAUGCACCUGUAGUCCCAACUACAGAGGAUGCUGAGGUGGGAGGAUCGCUUGAGCCCAGGAGUUUGAGGUUGCAGUGAACUAUGGUCAUGCUACUGUACUCCAGUCUGGGCAACAGAAUGAUACCCCAUUUCUUAAAGGAAAAGAUUUUGUUUUUCUAAAAAUGAAUUAUGGAUAUGAAACUCUUUUAGUUGGAAUUUUAUGUAUGAAUUUGAGAGGUCCAGAAAAUGAAAUAAAAUUAGACUUAUAUUGGAAAGGAUUAGAAUUCUAGCUCUUAACGCCUUUUUACUUUUUUUUUUUUUUUGGCCAAGUAAAAUGGCUAAUUAUACUGGGAACUGGAAACAGGUGGCUGUGUAUCUUAGUAAAUAAAGAACGAUGUUAACCUCUCCAGAAUGCUGGUGACUAUUGAGUUUGGCCAGAAAAUCCUAUAAAGGAGAAAGAGUUGCAGAGUGUAAUAAACUCCCAGAUGCUCGAUAAAAACCUCUGUUCCUCUUAUGCCGGCUGGUGAAGAUCAAGGGCGCCGCAGCAGAGCUGCUGAAGGCUCCUUACUGGUGUGAAGGUGAUGAGAUUUCUCUUCUGUUAUCUGUCUGAAUUACUUCUGGGCUUGACAGAGAUGGGAACUCUCAUUUGAUAGCAGUUCACAGACUUUGGAUAUCUUAUUUCCCUUAAGUUAAACUUACCAGUCUUCAUUUGCCAAAUAAUUUCCCCUUCUGGGAAGGGUGUGUGGCAAAUCUGACAAGCUUGUGUUCAGUUCUCUGCUGUUACUAUGAGGCUAGGGGACUUGGAGCAGGCAGCCUAGCCUCUCUGUGCCAUCUUUUCUUGCAUCUAGCAAUGGAAGAAAGGAAAACCAGCCUUUGUAGGGUUGUGAUGAAAGUGAAAUGAGAUGAUAAACACCAGGUACCUGGCAGGUGGUUUUACUGUCGCUGGUUUUCUCAAAACCUAAGGCAGAGUUGCUGAAACUCAGCACUAUUGACAUUUUGGGCUGGAUAAUUAUUUGUUAUUAUCCAAAGGUUAUUACCCAGCAUCUGGGAGGACCAUCCUGUUCAUCGUAGGGUGUUUAGUAACAUCUAUCCUAGAUGCCAGUAGCACACUCAUCCUCUUUGUAAUACCAGAGAUGUCUCAAGAGUAAUUUGUUUCUGACCACUGACAGAAGCCUACUUAAGAAAAGCUGACAGCUGAUGUCAGGUGUUUUCUUUGUUCAAAAAUGGUGUAGAACAGUACUUGGAGUGAAUGGGUGACUUCAAUUUAGUAAUUGUUUUUACAUUUAGUAAAGAAAUUAUGUAAUGGUAGUGUCUCCUCUCCCUUACCCCCCCAAUUCAUUUGAAUUAAUAAUUUAAAAAGUACUUUUAAAACUUAGACCCAGCCAUCUGUUCCUUCCUGUUGCCUUACAGCAGCAGUAAUUGCUUUAGGAUGGGCUUGGAAACAAGAGCGGAAAUGGUCUCCAGUGACCCCAAAUCAUAACAGAACUCGAAUCCUAAGAAAAACCACAAGUGGCUUAUGAAUAAGCUGAAAACUUAAAUGCCUCCUCAACAAUUUAAAUUUGGAUUGCAUAGCUUAUGGAUUUGGUGGGACAUUCUAACCUCGAUGUAUCUUUAACAUUUUCUGCUUUUAAGAUGCAAAGGCGUUAACAUAGGGAUGGAGAGAAAACUUCCUUCUAAGUUUUCCUAGAAAGUCUGGCACCUUUGACAUAGCUAUAACAGAAAGAAAAAUAUAUAUAUGUAUUUGAUACUGGUUCUAGAUAAUGCCAUUAAUUAGAUUUAAAAUGAUGCUUAUAGCAAGCAUAUGUACAACGUAAUAUGUUCCAGCUACGACUCUAAGCACUUUUCCCAUUUUAAUUCACUUGCUUCUCAGAACAGUUCUAUGAGGGAGGCUCUAUUAGGCCUGACUCAUGCUCGGCAUUUUGUACACGAGGAAACUAAAGCAAGGCAAAGUCGACUGCCCAGAAUUACCGGCUAAUAAAUGUCAGUCUUGCCUGGUGCUGCACACCUGCAGUCCCAGGUACUUAGGAGGCUGAGGUGGGAGGAUCUCUUGAGCCCAGGAGUUUGAAUCUAACUGGGAAACAUAGUGAGACUUUGUCUCUUUAAACAAAAUUUUUUUAAUUAAAAAAAAAAAAAAAGUCAGUCUGGCUACUAGUCUUUUAAGUCCAUUCUGCUGAUUCUAAGACUUGAUCCACAAGACCAGGGAUUGGCAAACCAUGGCCCAUGGGCAAACAUCUGGCCUACUGCCUAUUUUUUUGUAAAUAAAGUUUUAUUGGUCAAGGUGUAGGGGUGGGAAAAAAGUUUUAUUGGAAUAGAGCCCCUGCUAUUUGUUGACUUAUUGUCUAUGGCUGUUUUCUUGCUACAACAGUAGAAAUGAGUGUUUGCAACAGAGACCAUAUGGCUUGCCAAGCCUAAAAUAUUUACUGUCUGGCUGUUAGCAGAGUGAGUCUGCCUACCCAUACAGAAGACCAUUCUCAUCCAUAUGUAUAGUCCAGAAAGGUAGGAACAAAUUUUUAAAAAUCUUAAUUCCAUAUACUUUCAAAUAAGAUUGAGUUAAAACUCAUACAUUGAAGGUCCAAGUAUUUGGUGCCAUUCUCCAGUGUUAUGAUGAAUGUGAAAUCAUUUACAGGACACCCCUCUAUCAGGCAUUUGGGGGAAGAGAAAGGAACAGAUAAACAUGUGAAAAAUGGGAGAGUGUGUGAACUCUCUAUAGUACUCUAGAAAGCCCGGCUUUAACUCUGCAAAAUUUGAAAAUAGCAAUCUUAAACUUUCUGUUUUUCUCGCUGCUUUUCUGCAACAGCUUCAGAAUAGAAACUGACAGGCCCAUUUUAGUAGAAAGCAAACGGCAGUGUGUGGGUGGCGCCUUAUAACACAGCAACUCAAGGUUAGGUGGGGGGAGACCAAGAAUUGAGUUUCUUUUGUUAAAUCAGAAAUUAUGCAAAUUUUACAAAAAGUAUUAGAGGAAAUGUGUAAGGCUUUAAUUGGUUUUAUGGGUUUGUCGCUUUUUUUUAAAAAAGGUUACUUUGUGAACAUUACCCUCUGCUGAACAUGUAGACACUUCCUGAAGUUUAAUGAGAUCUCAGAGUAGAAUCACAACAAAUGUGACUCUCAGAUAUUUUCAAGAGAUGGUAUUAUCUUGGGCUGAAAGUAUGUUACACUAAGGCUGUCAUUUCUUAGGAGGAUUUACUCUACCACACAAGCUCCUCUAUCUGAAAUUAUGAUGAGCCCCAACAUAGAGCUUUUUGCUUAUACUAAAUUCAGAGAAUACUUAGUAUUUGCUAAAUCAGUGGUGGCCUACUUUUUAAAGCUCAUUUAUUACACUGAACUUUAGAUAAUAUAGAAAUGCUUUCUAAUUACAGUUUUGUCCCCUGGUAAAACUAACACUGUGCAUUGCGUUUGUAUUAUUGACAUUACCUUCUAGGGCCUUGAGUGAAGGAUGCUGAGCUGCGCUGCUCUCUAGGAUUGGUUAUUUUAAACUUUGAUUUUUGCUUGAGAGUGGACUAAGGUAGUGUAGUUAAAUAAAAAGUAUGAGCAGAAGUGUUUGUUUCAGGCAAGAUUUUUUCAGGGCCUCAUUUCCAGUGGGGUUGAUGGAUGAUUUUUGUGGCUUAGAGCUUGAGACAUUAUGAGUUGUUCACCGAGACCCAGAAUCAGGUCAGAGGACUGACUCCAAAUACUGUAAUGUGCUUGGAUGCUGGUACCGGUAUCAAGAGGCUCAGAGGAACAUUGGAUGUGUCUGUCCCUAGUAAUGACAGCACAGUCACAGCUGGUCUGUGGCUUAACAGUGUCUGCAGGGGCAUCCAUUCCCAUCCCUCUUACUCCUUCUUACUUCUCUUCCUAGACUUUACUGUCUCUGUUAAUUACAGUUCCAUUUCAGAUAGAGAGUUAAUUGAUUUAAGUUUAUGACUGGACCCCCGUGCCUGCAGUGUAUUGUUGAAUGAAUGGAUGUUUUGAUUUUUUCUUCUCCUUUGAAGCAAGGAAUUUACUGCUUGGAACUAUGCUGCACAGGUUUUUCUUAACGUUCUGUAGGAUACACAUUACUUUUUCUACUAUGUGUCUUUUAUUGCUGCAAAAGUCAGUUGUACUUGAGACAGUUUGGCACUGAGAGGGGAAUGUGGCAUAUCUUGGCACUGUGGACAGCUGGUUGGGUGUUGAUGUGGUGACAGGGAGGAGGGAAGGGCUCACAGACCAGACACGUGCUGCCUUUGAAUGCAGGUGGUGAUCAGUGUGCUUAGUCAUGUAGGGCUGCUCUUCGUGGAAGAGGUAGCUUGGUAGGGUGGUUGAGUUUCAGUACUGGAGUCGGCAGAACUAGACUUCUGUCCCCACCCUGGCUCACUAGCUGUUUGACAUUGGACACCUUGAUUCAAUCCCUUUGAACAUUAGUCUCCUUGUCUCUUUGAUGGGGAUAAAUAUCUGCUUCACACAUAGCCCUGUGGGAAGAUGUGAAAAGCCCAACUCUGGGUGUGUUAGGGGCAGAUAAAUGCUGAGUGUUAGCUUUCCUUUAGCCGAAUCUGAACUGAUUGAAUUGCAUUGGGACUCAGUUUGUAGUCAGUGACUUAUGUUCAAAAACUUGGGAAGACCCAGGAGGGGGUUGACUUAUCCCGAAAAAUCAGGUUCUUUUUGAAAAUGUGUUAAUUCUUUCAGGCCAGCAAGGUGUCAUCUAAGAAUGUCUGCCAGUAACUAGUUCCCAGGGAGUCUUAAAGAUGUCACUGUAGCUUUCAGACAUACCUGAGUUACUCUUAAGAGCACCUUGCCUUGUAGGAAUCCAUUUUGUGAUAUUUGUUUAAAUUAUGUCACAGCGCAUUGCAGACUUGUAAUCUGUUUUCAAAAUGGUAUUGUCUGCGCCCUUAUUGAUCAGCGCGACAUCUUUUACUUGCUUAUCUCUGCUUUCCAUAUGGUCAUACUCCAAAGCUAGACCUAGAGCAGACCCACUAACUCAUUAACCUCUCUGACACGAAAUAGAAACCUUCUAGAAGGGGACCAGCUAUGGGAGGCAGAGUUCUUAAAAUCUCUCGCAGUCCCCCGGCAUUUUCCUGAGCCUCCGGUUGUAGGUAUUAGACUGGGCGCGAGUUUUCACAACACGGGGAAUUUGUCAUGGUUGAGUCUGCUGUCGUUUGAAAUACUGCUUAGUUCUUUAAGAUAUAAUUAAGUAGAAUCGCAGAAAAGAGACCUUCGUUGGCAUUUUUUGUUUGUGUUGUGACUAUCGAAAUCCCUGCUCUCCGGAGGCUUGCCCUGACUUGGGGUGGGGAGUGUGACGUAGAGACACUGCGAAGCCGGAGCGAUCAGGUUAGGUGAGGCCAUGCUUAAGUUGGAUUCGUUGAAAAUAUGAUUCAAUUUGAGAACAUGGUAGUGCCCAUUUCCAAGCUGUCACAGAGUCCAGGAGAUGGGGAAUAAAAAAUCUUCGGCAUCUCUCGGGGAAGAUUAUUUUGUUUGAGGUCUUAGGACUUCUCCUGAUACUGUAUGAACUUUCUUUUUUUUUUUUUUUUUUUAAUUGAUCAUUCUUGGGUGUUUCUCGCAGAGGGGGAUUUGGCAGGGUCACAGGACAAUAGUGGAGGGAAGGUCAGCAGAUAAACAAGUGAACAAAGGUCUCUGGUUUUCCUAGGCAGAGGACCCUGCGGCCUUCUGCAGUGUUUGUGUCCCUGGGUACUUGAGACUAGGGAGUGGUGAUGACUCGUAAGGAGCAUGCUGCCUUCAAGCAUCUGUUUAACAAAGCACAUCUUGCACCGCCCUUAAUCCAUUCAACCCUGAGUGGAUAUAGCACAUGUUUCAGAGAGCACAGGGUUGGGGGUAAGGUCACAGAUCAACAGGAUCCCAAGGCAGAAGAAUUUUUCUUAGUACAGAACAAAAUGAAAAGUCUCCCAUGUCUACCUCUUUCUACACAGACACGGCAACCAUCCGAUUUCUCAAUCUUUUCCCCACCUUUCCCCCCUUUCUAUUCCACAAAACCGCCAUUGUCAUCAUGGCCCGUUCUCAAUGAGCUGUUGGGUACACCUCGCAGACGGGGUGGUGGCCGGGCAGAGGGGCUCCUCACUUCCCAGUAGGGGCGGCCGGGCAGAGGCGCCCCUCACCUCCUGGACGGGGCGGCUGGCCGGGCGGGGGGCUGACCCCCCCACCUCCCUCCCGGAUGGGGCGGCUGGCCGGGCAGAGGGGCUCCUCACUUCCCAGUAGGGGCGGCCGGGCAGAGGCGCCCCUCACCUCCCGGACUGGGCGGCUGGAUGGGCGGGGGGGGCUGAUCCCCCCACCUCCCUCCCGGACGAGGUGGCUGCUGGGCGGAGAUGCUCCUCACUUCCCAGACGGGGUGGCUGCUGGGCGGAGGGGCUCCUCACUUCUCAGACGGGGCGGUUGCCAGGCAGAGGGUCUCCUCACUUCUCAGACGGGGCGGCUGGGCAGAGACGCUCCUCACAUCCCGGACGGGGCAGCAGGGCAGAGGUGCUCCCCACAUCUCAGACGAUGGGCGGCCGGGCAGAGAUGCUCCUCACUUCCCAGAUGUGAUGGCGGCCGGGAAGAGGCGCUCCUCACUUCCUAGAUGGGAUGGCGGCCGGGCAGAGACGCUCCUCACUUUCCAGACUGGGCAGCCAGGCAGAGGGGCUCCUCACAUCCCAGACGAUGGGCGGCCAGGCGGAGACGCUCCUCACUUCCCAGACGGGGUGGCGGCCGGGCAGAGGCUGCAAUCUCGGCACUUUGGGAGGCCAAGGCAGGCUGCUGGGAGGUGGAGGUUGUAGCGAGCCGAGAUCACGCCACUGCACUCCAGCCUGGGCACCAUUGAGCACUGAGUGAAUGAGACUCCGUCUGCAAUCCCGGCACCUCGGGAGGCCGAGGCUGGCGGAUCACUCGCGGUUAGGAGCUGGAGACCAGCCCGGCCAACACAGCGAAACCCCGUCUCCACCAAAAAAAUAAGAAAACCAGUCAGGCAUGGCGGCGCCGCCUGCAAUUGCAGGCACUCGGCAGGCUGAGGCAGGAGAAUCAGGCAGGGAGGUUGCAGUGAGCCGAGAUGGCAGCAGUACCGUCCAGCUUCGGCUCGGCAUCAGAGGGAGACCGUGGAAAGAGAGGGAGAGGGAGACUGUGGGGAGAGGGAGAGGGAGAGGGAGAGGGAGAAGAGGGAGAGGGAGAGAGGGAGAGAGAGGGAGAGAGGGGGAGAGAGAGGGAGAGAGAGAGGGAGAGGGAGAGGGCUCUUAAGGGUCCAUCAUGUUUUGGAGUCUAAAAGUUGGGACCCGGUGUGGGGGCACAACACCUGCAAUCCUAGCACCUUGGGAGGCCAAGGCAGGAGGAUUCUUGAUUGGCCCAGGAGUUUGAGACCAGCCUGUGUGACAUGGUGAGACUGUCUCUGCAAAAUAUAAAAAAUUAGCUGGGUGUGGUGGUGCGUGCCCGUAGUCCUAGCUACUCGGAGAGACUGAGGUGGAGUGUAUCACUCGAGCCUGGGAAGUCGAGGCUGUAGUAAGUGGCGAUCGUGGCACCUGCACUCCAGCCUAGGCAACAGAGCGAUACUCUGUCUCAAAAUAAAAUGGAAGAAAAAAGAUAAAACAAAUAAAUAACAAGCUAUAAGUUGUCCCUGCAUGUAAAACAAAAAUUGUUCCUGCAUGUGAAUCACAGUCUUUGCGCUUUCUGGAAAGUAAUAGAAAUUUCUGUGGAUGAGCCACUUGGCAAAGGUUAUUUCUAAAACUCUGUGUUAGAGAUUUUUGGUAAAUAACAAAGAGCCUGAAUGGUCCCAUGGGAUAAAACACCAGCUCAAGACUUUACAAAGUGGGGCUCUCAUUGAGGUAGUUCUCAGUCUGCAAAAUGAAGAUGAUACACCUUAGAUGGUAUAUAUUUCAAUGCUAUUAUUAUUGAGAGCCAGUUUGGCAUUAGGCAUCACACUGAGUACAAAUUUAUUUCUACAUGUUCUUCUUUUAAAAUAUGGAAUUCUUUUAUUAUUGUUUGUACUAGUUUAUUAUUACUGUUUGUAUAAAUCUAUGCAAGUACAAGUGCAAUUGUGUUACAUGCAUAGAUUAUGGAGUGAUCAACUUGGGACUUUUAGGGUAUCCACCACCCGAGUAAUGUACCUUAUACCCAGUAAGUAAUUUCUUAUCAUCUAACCCCCUUUCUGACUAUUGAACUCUGAGCAACACUUGACUGGAUUGGGAGGAUUGGAGUAAGAAGAAUGUACAUUCCUUAUGUUAAGAUGUGGUAGGAAAUAGAAACUUGGCUUUGUCCAUAAAAACGUGUGAGUUCAUGUCCUUUUCAGGAACAUGGAUGAAGCUGGAAACCCUCAUUCUCAGCAAACUCAGGAACAGAAAACCAAACACUGCUUGUUGUCAUAAGUGGGAGUUGAACAAAGAGAAAACAUGGACACAUGGAGGGGAACAUCACACACUGGCGUCUUUGUGGGGUGGGUGGGGUAGGGGAGGGAUAGCAUUAGGAGAAAUACCUAACGUAGAUGACGGGUUGAUGGGUGCAGCAAACCACCAUGGCACGUGUAUACCUAUGUAACAAACCUGCACGUUCUGCACAUGUAUCCCAGAACAAGUAUAAUAAUAAUAAAAAAAAAAAAGAAACAUGGCUUUGCAUGAGAAAAGCCUAUUGAAUGUCUCAGAGAUGGACAUGUUAAUGUUGCCUUGAGUAGAAAGAUCUGGAUACUGAUCUCCAGCUCCCCGCUCUUUCAGUUUUGGAUUCUACUGUUACCUAAUGUGUUUAAAGCCAUAUUGGUUAGCAGGGAGUAGUGAUCCCAGCUACUCAGGAGGCUGAGGUGGGAGGAUUGCUUGAACCCAGGAGGUGGAGGCUGCAGUCAGCUGAGAUCGCCCCACUGCCCUCCAGCCUGGGCGAUAGAGUGAGACUCCAUCUCAAAAAAAAAAAAAAAAAAAAAAAAGCCAUAUUAGUACUCUAUAAAUACUCCAUUAAAAAAAGGUGGGAGGUAGGAGACGAUUCCCCAGUUGUCCAAAAAAUUCGAUUGAUGUGCUGCUGACUUCUGUUUGGUUUAGCAGAUGUUUGUUGAGCAGCUGUUUGUUGAAUUGGUUGAAAAUGAAUUAAAAAUAAUUUUAUCUUGACCUUUCUCUUUGUAACUUUAACAUCACCUCAUGAGGUAGCUGGAAAAGUCCUGGAAUGUCUUUCAAACUCUGGGUGGGAAUUACUGUUUACAAGUUGUCAGCCAGUGUCACUAGGUGAUAAUUCCCCUCUGUGUGAGUGUCAUGGUUACAGUAUGCUUUUUUGCCUCUAAAAGAACAAUUAUAUUCAAGAAAUUUCCUAGUGCAUUUAAAAACAGCUGGGUGAAAGUCAUUUUAAAUCCCCAAAUCCAACACAUUCGUUCUUUUGUGCAUUUAAUUAAGCAGAAGUUAAAAUAAAUUAGAACAGGAGACAUUCAGUGCUGAUUGUUGAAUCAACAAAGCAAGAAACAGCCUAGCAUUACCCUACCACAGAUGUCUGUCACUCAGUGCUGUUGCCCUAUAAAUUUCCAUCAACUCUUACCAUUUUUUGAAUAACAAUUUCUUUUCUAGUAAAAAUUGGCAUAUGAUGUAUAGCAAGCAAUAUUCUUUAUGCAAAUGAUAUUUCCAUAUAUCUCUAAUUUUUUCCCCUUAAUGAUACAUUUAUGUUGGUGGCUUGGAUAACUUUUCCGGAGGAUGGAGGAUGUGAGAUGGGUUAGGCUAGAAUGGUAAGGUUUAGGAAAAUAUAGAAAAAUAAGAUUUAGCAGUAAAUUUGGGUAUUAUUAGUGGAAGUCAUGGUUGAGGUUGUUUCAUUUAUGAUACUAAAUUAUUUUAAGGACAUGUUAAGUUUAAUUUGUCUUUAUAAUGCAAGUAAUAUAUGGUUCAUGAUAGAAAAAGUUGAUUAAAACAUAUCAGCCAGAAACUGAGUCCCGUAUUUUUCUCACCCACAGGUAUCACUGUUAGCAUUUCUAGGUAAACAGUCUUUUUUCCCCCUAUUAUGUAUGUACUUUUGGCUAUCUUUUAAUAACAGGAUUAUGCUUCCUAGGCAGUUGUAUGUCUUUUUUCUGCCAUUUAGUAGAAUAUCAUAAUUGAUAUGGUAUUUGAUGUUGGCUUCUAAAUAACCAAGGGGAGAGGUGAGGCCUAUGGCUAAUGUUUCAGCUGAAACAAGGUUAGCCCUAAGUUGAGGAUAGUUUUUGCAGAUGAGUAAUGAGGGUUUAUUAUACUGUUGCUUUUGCAUACAUUUUGAAUUAUCUUUCCUAAAUUUUUUUAAAGUGUUCAGUAAGCCAUAAACAUCUCCCCAGAUCUACACAUUCACACCAAUGCCAUUCUUAAGAGGCAUGUGUCAUUCCGUGGUAGCAUGGAUCAUAUUAAUAAUUGAACCAGUAUCCUAUUGUUAGAUACGUCUGUUCUCAGUUUUUUCGACCAUUCUUGGAAAUAGAGGAAAAUUUGUCCAGUCAUUUAUUUAAGAAGGCAUUUGUAAGUUAAAUUUUUAUUUAUUUUUCACUACCCAAGAAGGAAUCUGGAGUUACAGUAACAGAAGAUACUGGCUAGUAUUUCGCCUUAGUUAACAAAACAAUCAUGAAAAAUCUUUGUUUAGAAAGUUACUAAAGUCUAGGCGGGCACAGUGGCUCACGCCUGUAAUCCCAGCACUUUGGGAGGCUGAGGUGGGCAGAUCACGAGGUCAGGAGAUCGAGACCAUCCUGGCUAACACGGUGAAACCCCGUCUCUACUAAAAAUACAAAAUAUUAGCUGGGUGUGGUGGCGGGCACGUGAAAUCCCAGCUACUCGGGAGGCUGAGGCAGGAGAAUGGCGUGAACCUGGGAGGCAGAGCUUGCAGUGAGCUGAGAUUGCACCACUGCACUCCAGCCUGGGCGACAGAGCCAGACUCCAUCUCAAAAAAAAAAAAAAAAAAGAAAAUUACUAAAGUCUGUGAAAUUAGUACAUUUUCUGAAUACUUCACUGUAAUUCCAGUGAAUAUUUUACUUUCACACACACACAAACACACACACAAUUUAGUGUAUCAAGUAAUUUUUAUUGCCCGAUGUCUUGGCGCCUUGAUAUAUUUUAACGUGUUGCGGUUGCAUGUGACUCUUCCAAAGACAUCUAUCGGGAAAUGGAUAGUUAAUGCAUGGUGUGUAUCUCUCUGUUGUUUAUUUACCAUAAGUUACUAAUUCCCAUUUCUCAGCUGAGAGCUAUUAUAGGCCUUCCUCUCAUCAGGGAUAGUUGGAGCCAGAUAGGAUAGAGAUUGGGUAACUGUUGGAAUGUGGACCACCAAUUUCUUUUAUUGGCUUCCAUAGCUAGUUAGAUGGAGACUCCUGACCUGAGUGAGGAGUAUUAUCUGUCCUGUGAGCCUCCAGUUAGCCUGGGUAAAAACAAUACAUUAAGAAUCACUACCUCUUCUUAGCCAAGCAUGGUGGCUCAGGCCUGUAAUCCCAGCACUUUGGGAGGCUGAGGCGGGUGGAUCACAAGGUUAGGAGUUUGAGACCAACCUGGCCAAUAUGGUGAAACCCCAUCUCUACUAAAAAUAUAAAAAUUAGCUGGGCAUGGUGGCGGGCGCCUGUAGUCCCAGCUACUCGAGAGGCUGAGGCAGGAGAAUCGCUUGAACCCAGGAGGCAGAGGUUGCAGUGAGCCCAGAUCGCACCACUGCACUCCAGCGUGGGUGACAGAGCGAGACUCCGUCUCAAAAAAAAAAAAAAAAAAAAGAAUCACUACCUCUUCUUAUGUAUGUUUAGUGUGGGACAGGUGCUGUGUUAUACCUGGCACCUACCUUAAACAACUGAAUCUUUAUGAAGGCCAUCAGAGGCAGUCUCUCUUAUUCUUCCCACUUUACAUGUGAGGAAACGAGGCCUAGACAGUGAGAGAAACUAACUUGUUCAGUUAAAGUUGCACAGCUAGAUAUAGAUUUUUUGGACAUGUUAAUUAACCCUUUCAGUGGCUUGGAUCACGAUCCCAAUAAAUCAGUGAUGAAUUUUUGGUAGAUGUAUAUUUACUUAUUAAUUAUAAUGUGUGCAUAUAAAAGCCAUAGAUCUAGGCCUGUGAUUAAAACCUGCCCAUUGCUUAUGUGUCUAAAAGUUCCUUUUCUCUCUGUGCUGCAAUAGCUAAAUUUUGCCGAUUUUCUAUUUUCUGUUCUUACUUUGAUUUGGAACAAACCAAGCUUCAAAUGCACAGGGUCCCAGAGUGGUAGAGUGGCUUGCUUAUUUGAUAUAUUUUUUAAGCUAGUGAUUUCUGGAAAUCGGCAGCCCCUCUUGAUGUGGCACACCUAGACCAUAAGUCAGUUAUAAAGAGUCCUUAGGAGUGUUGGGCCGUGGAUGGGAGGGGAAGGGAAGUGACUGGUACAGUUUCAAAAGGUAGCUUGUGUACACCCCUUCCUCAUGAAUUAAAAUUUAUGAAAGCUGUUUGGGAAAUUCGAUACCCAGAGGUGCAGACACCACAUUUGGUAACACAACAUGCUGUGUGCAGAACUGGGGCAGAGUCCUGAUGUUGGGCAGAUGAGGAUGUUUUAUCAUCAUUAGACAAACAGUGCCGUGAAUGAGGGGCUGUGGCUGGGAUCAUCCAGCUCAGCUCGUGCUGUUUCCAGUCUCAUAAGCAAACCAAAGGCAUGCGUGUGGCUGCCCUCCCGCAAUCCAAAGGAAGAUGGAAGAUGAAUGGAAAAUGACUGUCGUUCUAAAAGACACUUGAAAACUAACAGCUGGGAAAACUGUUCUGAAUACUUGAAGGGGUAGCCCGACGGGUUUAAAAAAAUGAAGGAAGCGAUAGAUAUUCAUGUGUUGUCCAGGGAAGAAAUAGUCAACAUGUGUUUUACAAUGUCUGGCGUAGUUGUCUAGUCUUUACAAGUAGAGGUGUCUGAAUACACAGCAGGGGAGUCAAGAAUUCGGAGGAGUCGGGUGGGGCUGGAAUUGACGGGAACAACCUGAUGGUAUCUCCCCACAUUCCCUUCUUAUUUGGAAAGAAGUGCAGUCCAUUGUAGCUGUACCCUCUGUCUUUGCAUCUUUGAUUUCUCCAGCUCGGAGCAUCCCCAGACAAGAUGGCCUCAUCCCUGGUAAAAAGUUCCCUGGCCGAGAGAUCAACGUGAAUUUCCCAUCCUGGCUUCCAGGCGUCUCCGCUUGGCAUCUCACAUUUCUAGAAAAACAGCACCCAACCUACUUCCCAGACGUGUCAUAAUCAUGUCCCAUUUUGAUACUUAUUAUACAAAUAACCCCAAACACGUGUACUCUUUCUAUUGGUUGUUUGUCUAAAACUUUAUUUUUGUUCUCCAAAAGUAAAUGCCCAUUGUAAUACCCAAUAGUCUCUUUGAAUUUGCAUCCCCCAUACCUAAGUUUUGGGAGGCCUCCCAAUGCUCACCCCUCAUUAGUAUCUCUGUAUUAUGUGCAAUUUUUUUUUCCUUGAAAGCAUUUCUGCAAUAAUGGCUUUUUUUCCCCCCGUUAAGUGACGACAGUCAUCCUAAGUUAAGUUUAUUUGACUAGGAGAGGGAAGAAUAUUCACAAAGGGCACUGGUCUCACGUGAUUGAGAGACUGGUAGAAACAUGGCAAGAUUGGGCCACAGUCAAAUCAGAGUCUGGAAAGCUUGCUGCCUCAGGGAUGGCUGUACAUACAAACUCCCAAAUGAUACAUUAAUUGAUUUUGAUUAUAUGACUCCAAAGCUUGAGCAUUUCAAACUGUUUUCAAACUAAUGGCCAUCGCAUUUGGCAAGGAGCCCAACUGCGCAUUGGGUUCAUUAUAAAAGGAGAUCUUGACAGCCUGUCAGGAGGACAGAAUGCAUGCUAGGGUUUUGAGAAGUUGCUCAGUUUCAGAGGACUUGGUGGUGUUUUUCAUUAAAAGGUACCAGAAAUUUAGCAGCCCGACCAAGAGCCAGGCUUAUAAGUCACGGAAUGACCCUGGUCAGUACAUGCAGAACCUUAACAGUAUGAUCUUAAGAUAUCUCAUUAGAUUCCAGUGAAUAAGGCCAGGUACCGUGGCUCACGUCUGUAAUCCCAGCACUUUGGGAGGUCAAAGCUGGUGGAUCACUUGAGUCCAGGAGUUUGAGAACAGCCACCACAGUGGAACCCUGUCUCUACUAAGAAUACAAAAAAUUAGCUGGGUGUGGUGGUGCACGCCUGUAAUCCCAGCUACUCAGGAAGCUGAGGCACGAGAAUUACUUGAACCCGGGAGGUAGAAGUUGCAGUGAGCUGAGAUCAUGCCGUUGCACUGCAGCCUGGGCGACGAGCGAAACUCUGUCUCAAAAAACCAAAAAAACAGAAAAGCAAAAAAACCCCACAAUCCAGUGAGUAAGACCUCAGCCGGCCUGAGGUUCACAGGGUUUAAAUGGAAUGCAGUGGGAAGUAAAGAGUGAUCCCAAGGAGAAGUAAAAAUCUUGACACCUUACUCUCUUCGGCUUGUCCCACUUUUCUUCAACUGCCCCGCUACUGGAACAUUUUCUCUUUCUCAAUUUCGAUUGUCCCCUUAAGCAAUUUACUAAUUAGACAUUAAAACUUCCUAUUCUCUCAAUCCCAAAGCAAAACUGAUGAGCAGAGCAAACCAGAGCAGUUGGGCCAGAACAGAACAAAGACGUACCUGAUGCAGGGAAUUGAAGCCAGACCCAAAACGGGCAACCCAAUAGGAUGGCCAUCUGCCCCAUUAAUGCCAGCUUGUCCAAGUGUAAUUAUUAACAGUGCCCCCUUUCACUCUCCAAAGAGUCCCUGUCCAGACAGUUAAUUGUGAAGUCGCCUUCAGAUGGCUGGCGGUAAGGAAAGUAGAGUGAGGGAAGCAGGGUAGGUGGAGGUGUGAAAGGGAGAGGGCCUCAUCUCAGGGUGGCUGGACCUGCACCAGCAUCGGCCUGCAUGAAUGUGCUCCUACUCUUGCCCAGGCUGAGUAUCAAGAGAAGCAAGAAAUCUAGAUAAAAAUCCAAAUCCAGAAACAUCAGCGUUUUGAGGUUAACAUGUUGGCAAUUAUUCAGCUUUAUGAAAAAAAAAAAAAAAAACACAAAAAAACAGCAUGGGAGCCUGGCAAAAUAUGUGGGUGACCCUUGGCUACUUUUGAAUGAAGUUUUUCAUUCUGUCCUUCAAAAAAAAAAAUCAUACAAAAAAAAUAGGAGAUCAAGGGGGAAAAAAAAAAGAGGGCAUGGAAAAACCAGCCUCUGGUAUAGGCUUUCAGGGUAUAUUGGUGAGCAAACUUUUCCUAGAGCUGUUUCUGGUUAUCAGGUGUGGUACAGGUUGCAGGGAGGUGGGGAUGGGGAUGACUAGGGUCACAGCAGGCAAUAACUAGGGUUAUUGGCACCCGGUUGGUGUUUGGUGCCUGCUGUGUAACUUGCUGGGUGUUGGGAACCUGUAUAUGGCAUAUGCCAUGUGCACAGUGGGAUGUGUUUAAAAUGUGGGAGACAGGAGCUGUAUGGAAAUCAUUAUUUUCAAAUGCGGUCAUGGCUUUUAGGUUGUGAAUUUUUGUUCCUUUCCAAAACCGGUUUAGAUGAGCAGCUUUGCUUUUUAGUGAGAUUGAGUUAAUCUUAUAUCUUUAUGUUCUAAAAAAAAAAAAAAAAAAAAAAAGAAGAAGAAAGUAACAAUGUCCAAACUUCCCUGGAGCCAUUUCUGUCUCUGUGAAAUAGGCAAUUUAAGGUCCAUCCCAUCCUAAAAGCUUUUAGCUUGUGAAAAGCUUCUUUUCUUGCUUUUAAAACCUUCACUCUGCGUUUAGAAUAAAUGGCAUUCCUGGAUCUGUUAAAUAGGCAGUUAAUAAUGCCACAGAAACUACCCACCACACACCCAACCACAAAACUUGCUCAGAGGCAGGAUGUGUAUUGGAAUAUUCUGUAAUGAUCCAAUGCUGAAACAUUACAAUCAGCCUUGACCCUGCAAUCUGCAUUUUUAAUUGCAGCCUUCAUUUACAGUGGGGUAUUGGUCUGCUUUCAGUUUGUCCUGAAGGUUGACUGGAUCUCGUAAUCUAUUCAUGUCAGACUGCCUGCUAGGACCAGCAUGAAUUCAGCUCUUCAGAGGAAGCAUUGUCAUACAGAGAGGACUCGGCCGUUUGUUUCACCUUGAUAUAUUUCCCAAUAUAUGCUUCAUUCUCUGGGGUAGUUUUUAUUCCUCUUCUAUGAAAUGUGGAUUAUAAGGACUCAUGCCCCAUGGAAUUUCUAUAGGGUUUAGAUGAGAUAAUACAUGUAAAGUAUUUGAUAUGGGCAUGUAGGAAGCACCAAAUAAACAGUAGCCAUUAUGAUUUUUCUUGCUCUGGAUUUAACUUUUUUAAGCUCCUGAAUUUUGGAUUAGUAAUGUUGUUGACCAUGGAGGAAAAUUGAAAAAAGAUGUUGGCUUCAUUUUCUUGAUGACUGAAAAGUAAACUAGUGGCCGGGCGCAGUGGCUCACUCCUGUAAUCCCAGCACUUUGGGAGACUGAAGCUGGUGGAUCACUUAAGGUCAAGAGAUCGAGACCAGCCUGGCCAACAUAGUGAAAACUUUUCGCUACUAAAAAUACAAAAAUUAGCCAGGCGUGGGGUGCACACCUGUAAUCCCAACUAUAUGGGAGGCUGAGGCAGGAGAAUCACUUGAACCUGGGAGGCAGAGGUUGCAGUGAGCCGAGAUUGUGUGACUGCACUUGGGCCUGGGCCACAGAGCAAGACUCCUGUCUCAAAAAAAAAAAAAAAAAAGUGAACUGGUAAUGAGAAAUGAAUUUUGGAAAUAAUGGUGAACUGCAAACAUGGACUAUAAGUUAGACCAUAUUAUAUCAAUGUUAAAUUCUCUGAAUUUGAUAAUUCUACUAUGAUUAUAUACGAGAAUGUCUUUGUCUUAAGAAAUUCACUCGAGUAUUUGGGGUCCAAGGGGCAUGAUAUCUUCAAGCUAUUCUCAAAUGGUUGAGGAAUAAAUAUGUGCAUAGAGACUUAUAUAGCAGAUGCUGUUAAAUGUUGACAGUAAUGGGUAUGGGUGAUGGGGACAUAGGCAUUUGUUGUAAAGUUAAACAUAAAAAAGUUUUUAAUAAAGUGGGCCAGUGAGGAAAAAGGUAGCUGGUAACUUCAUUCUGUGUUUUUUCACUAGGUCAGAACUACUGGUUCAUUUAUCAUUUCUGUCCAAAGGUGGAUUUUUUCCAAUUAGUUUAUCUAUCCUGUUCUUCUUUCCCACCCCUCAAUUCUUGAUUCCUGGGGAUGGUUAUUUGAAAAGAACUUCCUUGCCCAGCUUUCAGUGACCCUGCUGUUUUGUUUCCAACUCCCAGUCAUAAUCCUUUGUUCAUGACAUUAUAAUCAUCACCACAAGUGGCUAAUUGUGAUGUCACAAAUGGAGGAUUAUGACUCAAAUGAGGAAUAAACAGCAGUGGCGGAUUAAUUCCUAAGCAACGAAGAAGAUUCUGUUUUGUGCAAAUGCCCCAGGGUAAUAAAAUUUAAAACCAGAAAAAGGCAAGGGGAAGACAAAGCUGAACAUAUGUGAUCUAUUAGCUAAAUUGUCCUUAAGUGGAAAGCUUUUCUUUCUCUCUUUCUUCCUUCCUUAAUUUUCCACGUGGUAUGAAUAGCUCCUCUAUGGUAGAUAAAUCGAUUUGGUUUUAGGCCUAACAAAGCUCAAGGUGUCUUGCUGACUAAUUACAGGGAUGUCACACCUGGGCUGAAAAGUGAGUCAUUAUGGAAUCUUUGAGGUGUUUUUAUUUUCCAUAAAGUUGAAUUGCUCUUUUCAGUCAGCAUUGCAAAAGUCAGGCUAUAAAGAUCAGCACAAUGGCCGAAGACAGCUGGGCUGAUAAUUGACGGCAGUCCCAACCUGGAAACUCUGGGUAAGGCCAGCAGAGCCGAAUGGCGUCAGUCACUCAGGACAGUUUUCUGAAUGGGUGAUAUGUAAAUGAGGCAGUGGUAACAGCUGUUGCUGUGGAUUGGCCUAGAAAUAGUAGUCAAUUCUCUGUGGAGGGUCAAUUUUCGAUUCUAAGUCAAGGAUGUGUUUUUUUCCCUUUUAGGAAAUAGGUGGUUCCCAUACUAUUCAGUUAACCAAGCAGCCAAAUCCCUCUCUACACUUAACAGCUCCCUCAUCCUUGGGGUUACUUGGCCGUCUCAGGAACACUCUUGAGUUUGUGGCCUUUUCUAAAACCAUGGUUGCAGUAGCCAAACUAAACUGGAAAUCCCUUUGAAUUGUUUUCCUUUUCAUGGGACAUAGUGUUCCUUUCUUCCGUUUGAUAUAUUUCGUUCUCUGUCGUGCUUGAGCUCUCUCUCGACUUAUGACUUCACCGUCACUUGAAUAUUGGAAGCCUUCUUGAAAAACAUUGGUGAAAGACUUGAGGCUACAGUUUGGCAUCAGCAGCAGAGCAAAUAAAACCACACUUUAAAAACUUGGUAAAUUUAGUUAUGAAGGAGACCUCCCAUUCGAGUCUAGGCGUUUAAUAAUAGCCUGUAUGCACAAAGUAGAAAUUAUGUGAUUAUCGUCUUGGGGCUGUGAUUAGAAUGUGUUGCUAUAUAUUGGUAACAUUUAGAAAUGUGUAACUUCAUCCCAGCUCCAUGGUACCGUAGGGCAAGCAUGACAUAAACAUGGUCUUGCAGUUGUACACUGGUUUGAGAUUCCCUGGAGACUAAACAGCUAUGAGGGAGUCAUGCUUCCGUUUGCCACUGUUGUCUCCUUUGUCUCGUAUAGGCUAUCAGAGAUGUUUCCUGGACUUUUAAGAGUAGCUCCAACAGAAGUUUUGCCUUCUGAGUAGUAAGGUGGUCACAACUUGUCCUGUUUCCCCUAUGGGAGUGUAUAUGCUGGUGGUGAUGGUGGGGGAUCUCACCUUUGUUUCCACAUCAGUAUGCUGCUGCCAGCUCCCCUCCAGGCUGUGCUGUCGGGACACAUCUGUGUGCCUGUAUGUGGCUCAUUAGGGAGCGGGUUGCCUGUUCUUUUGAGGUGAGCAUACAUUUUGAUUUUUCUUUUGGCAUCUUUUGGUUUGGAACAUUUACAGCCCUUUUUAAAAAUAUAGUCAUUUCUGUGUGGGUUUUCUCUGAGCCAGUAUUUGCCACACUCCAGUGAUAUUGAGAGAAACAAAGGGAACACGUCCAAGCCCAGAGGGGCUCUGUCUUAACAUCUGACAGGAGCUUCUAAGCCCAGUGUGGUUGUUACUGUGGGAAGUCGGGAAGUCCAUUACCCAAGGCUGUGGGAAACACAGGUCAUAAAAGCGGGGGCCUCUGAUCCUGGGGCAUUUACAGCUUAGUUUGGGAGCCAAAACUGGACCAUGUGAAACAGCUUAGAACAAUUGCAGAACCAAGAAUUAGCAAAUGUGGAUUAAUGUAGAUUAAAACUUGCCUGUGAGAUUCCAAGGUACUUGGAAAUCUGAGUUUUACAGUUGACUGGGAAAGGCUUCCUGGAGUAGUUGAGUUUGGGAACCAGGUUUUAAAUGAACCAAUAUGGGGUGGUGAAGAUGAUCGUGAUAUCUGUCACCAGAGACACCUCUGUGUGAAUCCCUUCCCUGCCAUUGACUGACCUUGGGACAAAUUAUUUAACCCAAGUCUAGUCUCCUGGAGAUGAGCCUUUGUUUCUCUCUCCCCAUCUCCCUCCCUCUCUCUGUUACUCCUCCUCCCGCUCUCCUUCUUUCUUUUCCCGCUCCUCCGCCUCUCUCAUUCUCUUUCUUAAGUACAAGACUGCCUACCUCCCUCAUCUGGUGGUUAUGAGGAUUAAACGAGAUAGUACAUUUAAAAAAUUGGGCAAUGUGCUUGCACUUACUAUGUUGAGAAUUUGGAAUUAUCAGUGGAGGCAGGAAGAGUUCAAGACAAGGAAACUGGCCUGUGCAAACAGGCGCACUGAUGGAGAAGGAAGACAUCAAAUGCCUUAUCGUGGAGGGCAAGUUAGUUUGGUUAGAAAGGAAGUCUGACCAGGGAGGAGAAGAGGGUUGGUUAAAAUUAAGAGUGUCCUUGAUGGUCCCAAUAGGGAUCUGACUACCUCAGGGAUGCAGAUACUGAGUUAGCAGUGCAAGGAAUUCAUUGGGGGUUAGUGCCUGUAGCAGAAGUAAAGGGAAGAAGCAGGAUUGGACAGGGAGAAUCUCAGAAUGUGCUGCAGAUCUGCCAUAGUGGACAGAAACAGGCAGACCCCAGUAGUACCCCUGACUCCUUGCAGCCCUUGGCUGGGGAAGAGCUUUGCCUUGACACAAAAGCUGCUUGGAACCUGAAGGUUCUUUGCAGCUGAGUAGCAAGUUCUUUGCUGAAGGGAGCUCCAAGUUGUACCCCUGCUAGGGCUAGCUAGAGAUACCUCCACUAUCUGUGUUGGGGUCCCUAUUCUGUCUUACUUCUGUCACAUGUAGUUUAUUUCCUACACAGCAUUUUAUCAUCAACUAUAAUAAAAAGGUAAUGAAAAUGUAUCCUGUUAGUCUCUGCCCCUAGAGUGUGGCCUUUGUCAGUGUAAUUGACUGCUGGCACAUUGAGGAGCACAGGAGAGGGCAUUUCCUGGCAACCUGGCAUAUAAUGGUGUCAGAUUUCUUAUUGCCGUGUUCUCUUUUGAGCUUGGAAAGAUUAGUUACCGCUUGUUGGGGUAUGAGUGGGAGCGCCGUGCUUCUGAACAUUUGCAAAGCAUCUGCCAGGACCCUGCACCGUGAGGAGCACUUGGUGCUCGUUACCUCAUUCCCGUGGUCUUGCGUGGGGAGGGACUUGUUUACAUUUGUUUUAGUACCGAGAUGCAUGCAUGUCCACUUGAUGGGUAAGGAAACUGAGUGUUAGAGAACUUAAAUAUUAAGGUUCUCUAGGACCACUUACCUCAGGAGUGGCAGAGAUGGGACCUCAGCUCUUUCUGCCCACUAAGCCUGUCAACUUAAUGGCUCUGCUGUCAUGUGACAGAUAGAGCUGGAGCUAGGGAAUGAAUGCAAAGAGAAUUUGGCCCAUACUAGCCCUCUGAUACUUACCAUUGUUCUCUGUGCCAGGGUUCAUGUUAGAACUGGCCUGUGCCGUGAGUAGUUGGUGAGACUGGGGGAAAUGAGUGGUCUUAGACGUCACUAUUGGGGACUUUAAAUGAGCACAGCUUCUGUGAAGGCGACUGGGCCAUGUCCAUCACAGUUAGAUUUGCCUAUACCCUUGGAUCAGGAAACUCUGCCCCCAGGUGUGUGCCCCACAGAUGUACUUGGCCACAGUGCAAAAUGACUCAUGUCAAGGUUAUUCCUUGCAUCAGUGUUUGGAUUUUGAAAGGAUUGGAAAUAACCUGACAGCCCAUUAAUAGGGGCUGUUUUAAUAAAUUAUACUAUGCUAAAUAAUGGCAUAUGUGCAGAUGUUACAAUCAGAGAAGCAUUGCCCUAUGAACAGAUACAUAUGUUUGUCUGUAUAUCGAAAUCUCUAUUUCCCUAGAUAGCCUUGUUAAUCAGGUGGGGGAAAAGCAGGGCGUACAACGGUAUUUAGUUAAAGCUACUUUUUUUAUGGGACACAUACAGGAUUAUCUUUAGCAUCAUGGUAUUAAUGGUUGGUGUUGUCUUGAGAGGUAUGGGGAAGAGGUGAGAUAAGGAGUCCAUGUUUUUAUACUUUGACUUUGAUUUAUAGAAUAUAUACAUACAUUAUCAGUUCAGAAAAUUAAAUUUAAUAAAGACAUCCCCAAAACCAGCCAACCAAAAAUGCAUCAACCGUUGACCACUGGGACUAGCAAAGAGAUCAGGUAGAGCUUACCAGUUAGACAAUACCUACCCUGAAAUGAAACCAAGUAUCUGUUCACUUCCAGCUGACAGGAAAAGACGUAGGAAAUCUUCACCAGAUUUGAAGGAAAUGUUUGGAAUGGUUUGACUUAAACAUCUUAUUAUCUGGCUUAUUUGGAAUUUUCUUUAGGGGGCCUUCAGUGACACCUCAAGUUGGUCCUUAGCCAUCCACCCUGGUGGGUGCCCAUAGAUUCAGAUAAGCAGUGGAGAGCAUGUGUGCUGCACUAGCCCUGUUCAGGGUAAUAGCCAGCAUGUAUUCAUACAACACUGGUUAAUGAUUCUUCCCGGCAGUCCUACUAGGGACUCCACCUUUGUCAAGGCCGUAAAUGGACUUUGGGGCUGUACAUUAAGAGACCUGGCCUGACUUGAUCUGGCUAAACAUGGCUUUGGGACCCUCUUGAAGUUUCCAGUUGAUAUUUUUUAUUCUUUUCAAACCAAAUCACUGCAGUGAAAAGAAAACAAAAAAAGGAGUUUUUAAAUUUAUACAAAAGUAUGAAAAAGAAUGAGAAGUUAGGAAAGUGUGAAUUAUAUUUUAAGUAAGGCUUUGUGGCUUUGUUGAUCAUGGAAAUCUUUUUAUUAACACAUUAGACAAAUUCUUUACAUGCCAGUUUGCAUUCACUUAAACAUUUGUGGGGGUGGUGUGUAAAAUGUGCAGCAAUACCUGCUCCUUUUUGGGAAAUCCAUUUGUUAAAUAGCCCUCAGAAUAUGACAGUUUUAUAGUAGGAUUAUGACUUUUUUUUGUUUCCAUGUCUGCUAAAAAGGCUAACAGAAUAGGACAAUUUAAUCACAUGCCAUUAUGUUCAUAGGGGUUUGGGAAGCUCAGACAUGUUUCUAGAAAAGGAAUCGCGUACCCAGCUUUUCCAAGUUUCUUAGCAAAAUUCGAUAAUUACUUGAUUUGGAGAUGUCCCCAUUCAGCCCCUUCUUCUGAGGGCAUCUGGCCUUCCUGAGUGUGGCUGACAUCACUUUCAUGACCUUGGCUCUGUUGAGGUGGUUGUCAGGGAAGGUGUGUUGCCAGAACUGUCCUGUCACUCUUCGACAGAGAGAGACAGAGAGACAUUUCCUGGACUAAUCCAUGUUUCCAGCCAGAUUUAUAUUAUUUACAGGGUAUUAGGCAAGGACCAGGAUUUAGCCAGGUGUUGCCCUGGAGAAUUGUUUCGGACCUCAAGUCAAAAAAAGGCUGCAUGCUGACUAGCGGAGGAAACAGCUCCCCACGGGCCAGCCUAGACUCUGUAUCCUGGCAUUUGUCAUCCCAGCUGGAGUUUUUUGAGGCAUCGGAGCUAGAAUAAAGCAGGAGCUCAUCAGAGGCUCUCUUUUCUCAGUCGCCUCCAUCUUUCCAGAGACUCAGAGGCCACCAGCUGUGGCAGCAGGUCUCAAGCUUUGUCGGUGAUUAGUUGCACGGCGGGGAAGGCUCUUCGCAUUUUCCUCUGUUCUGGGGCUCUCUGGUGGAUUGGAGCAGGCAAAUCGGGCUCCUCACUGAGCAGGAUGCAGGCAAGUCAGAGUGAAAGAAAGGAGCCAGUAUCCCCACCACCCGCUAGUGUUUUCCAUACCAAAGGACUUAACGCUUAUGUUUGCAAAAUUCAAUAGUCAGUACCCUUGUCAGCUGCUGCUUUAAAUUCUGUGUCCUUUGCCUGUUUCUGGGUCAUUGCCUAGUAAAUGGUAAACAUUGCCAUAUCCCAGCUUCCUUUUUCUGGGUUGCCUUGUGUGAGCCUUGUCAGUAGAAGAAGCUUAGAUAGGGCGGCUUGACCUUGGCUGACUUGCCAUAUUCUUGAACUGUCCUGCCCUGCUUCUCAAUGCAUCAGGGAAAAUAUCCUAACAUGUCUGGCGUGCCCUUUAACUUGACAGAGAGGGCAGAGGCUGAGGAAGUUUGGUGGUACGACUGCACUUGGUUAAGCAGCCAGUGCUGGCGAAACAGGCCUUACUUAGCCCAGGCAUUCUGACUGCCAUUUGAGGACUGUUUUUACUGUAAUAAUCCAUCACUCUGGACUUUAUGCUCUAGGAAUGAAAAUUGUAUUUACUAUUGGCCUAAGAAAAACAUAUUGCAAUUCAUAUUUGAAGCUGCUUAGCAAAGAUCCCUAACACCAGCCAGAAGUGAUUUGGCUAUUGGAAUUACCUGUUUUGGAGAGUGAUUCCUAUAACUGCUUCCCUAUCAUCAUCUGUAAUGGUUGAAGCUAUGUGUAUACAUUCACACGUUUACACACAAAACAAGAUAAUUUCUUUACUGGGUCUUAGCAAAAAGUCUAGAAGAAUUUUCAAUAAAACUGGAUGCAUAUUUAUGAUUGUCUGACUUAAAAUGUAGACUGUGUGGCAUGUAUGAAUUUCACUUUGGAGGGAACAGAGUCUUGAGCAAGCACCUCAAAUAAAUACAUAGGCCAUUACUCUCUGCUAUGGCAGCUGAAACUAAGAAACAGUGAGAGGGCUAUGUGGCUGCUUAUGUGGGAAGAUUUAAUUUCUGUUGUAGGAUGCUGAGGACCUUGGAAAUUGAGGCACUGAAGCUGAAGUGGCAAGGGCAAGUGUGAAUUGCAUCAGAUCUUUUUCUCUCAGGGUAAUUUCUUCAUAUCCCAGCUUCCUUUUUCUUUGGACACUGUCUCAACCAUCCCCUGGGUUUGGUGAUGCCAGACUUCCUUCUGGCAUUAUCCGCAACCGACAAUGGACUUUACUUGUUACGACAAUAUCACCAGCUUUCAUUGCAUGCGGCAGAUGGCCUGGAAUGCAGUUUGUCACUAUCACUUCUUGGAAAUGCAGAGGCCUCCUGGUUCUUCAAGGCCACUAAGCCCAGGAAGGGAGCAAGUGUGAGAUGGCAAAGACCCCCUAAGGAACAGCAUCAGAUCCCUUUCUGGGUGUUUGUUGCAGGGUGGCUCACUUGCUGCUUUUCUCCAGGAUAAAUGGCAAUUGCUUGAUGCUUGAUAGGGACGUAUUAAAUACAACGGCUGUCUCAGGACCCUGUCUGCCUUGUUUUUCAUCACCUGGACGUCUGAUACAUGCAAAGUGGAGGAAUUACUGCAAAGAGUGGAAGACAGGUUAAACAAACAUUCACCACAACUAACUGUUUAAGCUUAAGUCACUAAAACACUCAUUGUGUUUUUGCUCUGAAGGUCCAUGAAGGGAUAGAUUCGUCCAUCCUCCUUCUCCGUCAUCACACAUCAAGGCCAGGAUUGUGCCAUUUAUGGAUUCCACAUCCUAAGAGAAAACUGUUCACUCAGAUGGUUUCUGGUAGUGACUCCUCUUCUCUUUGAAAUGCCCUUCAAAGUAUUUAGCCAGAAACAAAGCUUUUUGGUUUUUGGGCUUGUGUCAGGCUUUUGCUAGAGAGUGAUUUUUUUUUUUCAAGGAAAUUAAUAGAUGAUACAGUCAAUGCUAGACAAUUUUAGAUCUCAGAGCUGUCUUCCUUGAAAGGUACAUUACUGUUUCUUUUACAUCUCUGAGAUGAGACUGCUCAGAGAAUGAUUGAUUUUGGGGUGAAUUGCUAUGUUUUUACAUAGACAAAAUAAAACCACAGAAUCCUUCAAUAGAGGAAAUAAAAUAUGGCACGCCAUCAAUGUGGAAUAUUAGGCACCCUCAAGUGUAAGUCUAUGUAUAUAUGACAUGGAAAAAUGUUUAAGAUGUGGUUGGGUGACUUUAAAACAAGUUGCAGUUUGGGCACAGUGCCUCAUGCCUUUAGUCCCAGCACUUUGAGAGGCUGAAGUGGGAGGAUUGCUUGAACCCAGGAGUUUGAGACCACCCUGGGCAACAUAGAGAGACCCCAUCUCUACAAAAAUAAUUAGCUGGGUGUGGUGGCACAUACCUGUAGUCCCAUCUACUCUGGAGGCUGAUACAAGAGGAUCGCUUAAGCCCAGGACAUAAAGGCUACAGUGAGUUGUGAUCACACCACUGCACUCCAGCCUGGGAGACAGAGGGAGACCCUGUCUCAAACAAACAAAAAACAAGUUGCAGAACAAUGUGCAAAAUGGAGUGUGAUCCUAUUUGUGCUUCAUAUAUAUGAGGAUCAGGACCAUCCUAAAUAUGUAUGUAUAUCUCUGUGUGUGUCUGUGUAAUUGCUUAGAAAAAUGACUAAAAUGGUAUGAAUCAAACUGUGUUCCUUCAGGCAACACUAGGGGGAAGUGGACAGAGGGUGACCAUUGCGUUUUGUGUACAUCUGUGUAUUGUCCUGAUCUCAUACAAUGAGAAAUAUUUAUACACUAUGGAUAAACAAAUUUUGGAAAAUAUCCCAGCAACGUUAGUAAUGCAACAGUGCUUUCCCUGGGGCCACCAUUUUGGUUCUCACCAAGAACAGAUGGUAGCAUCAAGUAUUUCAGUAAAAUUUUAAUAUCAUAAAAAGCAUAUGGGGCUUUCCUAAGGUCUGAGAGGCACAGUAUAAUCAUGUUAAAUAAAGAGGACUUACAUUUAA